UGGUGGUUGUCGGUACGGAUGUUGCGGUGGCUGGUUUUUUGGACGGUGCAACUACUGUUGUCGUAGUCCACAAGCCGAGGAGACCGUGGAAACUGAAGCUGUUGAUGCCAACGUUGUUGAACCUCAGCAGGGGGGUCGUGGUGGCUGUAGAUACGGAUGUUGCGGAUCCUGGCGUUAUGGACGGUGCAGCUACUGUUGUCGCAGUCCACAAACCGAGACCGUGGAAACCGAAGCUGUUGAUGCCAACGUUGUUGAACCUCAGCAGGGGGGUCGUGGUGGCUGUAGAUACGGAUGUUGCGGAUCCUGGCGUUAUGGAAGGUGCAGCUACUGUUGUCGCAAUCCACAAACCGAGACCGUGGAAACCGAAGCUGUUGAUGCCAACGUUGUUGAACCUCAGCAGGGGGGUCGUGGUGGCUGUAGAUACGGAUGUUGCGGAUCCUGGCGUUAUGGACGGUGCAGCUACUGUUGCCGAGGUGCUCAAGCGGAGUCUGAAGGGCAGAAAAAGGAAGAAGCUAAGCCAUGAAUGGUGUGUAAAACAAACUCUAUGUUUGUAUGCAUGGAUGCAUGGUUUAUAUUACUGUUUCGUACGUAUGUCAAAAUAAGGAAAAAGUGUUGCUAUAAAGUCUAUAGCUCAAUAAAAAAAUGUCGUAGGUUCAUAUAAUAUGUGUUUUGUUAUGUAGUGUUUUCGUCGUGAAGAUUGUAAUAAUAACUACUGUUUAAAUACUAAAUCUUGGAUUGCAAUAUUUAAAUUAUAAUAAUGAAAAAGCAUGUGCCUAGGUCAAUGAAAACCACAUAGGUUUUAUGGUAUCACGUAGAUUUGUGAUCCUAAACAUGCAUUAUGAAAGACGACUUGACAUAUAAAAUAAAACUAAAGCGUUGGUUAGAAUAUCUUUAUUUAUUCUGUUUCAUUUUAAUGAUGUUUAAAGUUGAUGCAUAUUUAUUAAAAAUUCAACUUUGAUAAAUUUAUUUUAAUUUUAUAAAAGUAACAUCAAAUAAAAUUAGUAAACUAAUAAAAAUCUACAAUACUAUAUAAUUGGUCAUAAAUACAAAAAACAUUAAAUUUUUAUUUAAAACAAUGAGAACAUUACUUAUUUUGCACAAAAAAAUUCUUAAACAUCAAAUAAAUUGAAAUGUAGAAAGUAUCAUUAUAUGUUGUAUGAAUAACAAUUGAAGAUUUGUUUAGAUUUUAUACACUCCAGUGUAGGGAGUAUUCACCGAUCCAACCCAUAGAGUUCCAUCACGCUCCUCCACCUCACUUAUAGAGAUCCACUUAUUUCCAAUUGUACCCUGGAAAACCUCCGAUAUUACGCCACUACCUUCGCUCAACCUCACGGCCAUCCCGUUCCCUUUGUACUUAGCCCAAUACGAAUGAACUUUCAUCCAGUCCACCGGCAAGCCCAAAGCGGCGCGUCCUAGCCAGGCAUUCGACAUGGCGAACUUUGUCAGCUUUGAGUGUUUUGUAUUCAGGCCUACCCAAAAUCCACCACGUGGACACCUCUUUAUGUUGUCGGGGAACCCAGGGAGCCCCUCCGCGAAAAUCUCAUACUUCUCGUGAGAUUUAGAAACCGACCUGUCGUUGAGCCAGUAGCGUAGGACUCGAGAUGUGGCAGUCUCUGCCACGAGAAGGUAAUCCCCGUUUUGGCUCAUAACAACGCCGUUUGCGAACGCAAGGUUGCUUAGAAGAGUUGUCACUUGGUUCGUAUUUGGAUCGUAUUUCAUCAAUCUACCGGUUCUGUCCCCACUCAUUAUUGCACCUAUAUAAUUCCUGAAAAAAUUAAACAAUUUACGCUCUUAUAUGUAAGAUGAAUCAUGAAUGAUCGAAUAUUUGCAGAAUUUUAAGUUAUAAAAAAAAAAAAAAGGAAAAAGAUAUUUGCAGAAUUUUACCUUCGUUGAUAAACCGAACUACUAUCAGUGAAGUAGACAACUCCAGUCCGUGGAUCUAUUUCCACAGCGUUGGUAAACCUAAGGGGCUUAUCCAGCUGACGUGUAGAUACUUGAUUGGCUAAACCACCUUCUCGACCAACUUUAAGAAGUCCCAUAUAAGCAUCGGCAAUAUAAAGAUCACCAGUGGAUUUUUCAAAGGCCAGGCCCAAUGGUCGACCACACUCAUGUUCCGUUCGUUGGUGCUCGUGCGGGCCCUCGCAACCUUCUCUGCAUUUAAUUAAAACGUUAAAUACAAUAGUCAUCCAAGUGUUAAGGAACCCUAAGUGUGAACAAUGAACAGAUCCCAUCAUAAGUAACUAUUUUCAUAACUAUAACUAUUCUUUUAUAUCAAGGCUACCAUCAACGCUGGGUUUAAUGAGUUGUUUAAUUUUUUUUUUUUUUUUUGCUAAAUUGUAAAUAUCAUAGAUGAAAGGAAAAUUUUACAAAGUAAAGACCUUAGUUCUGCACCAUCUUGGCAAAAAAGAAUAAAAACAAGAUGAGACAAAAGAAAUAAACACCAACAAAAGAUAGGUAAGCUAGUUUUAUCUCAAUCAAAAGAUCAUGAGAGGCUUGAAGCGCUUGUUGUGUCUCCUGGAGGAAAUGAUGUUUCUGAUCUCCCUGUCUAUACCAUGAAACACAAUAAGACCUUAGUUGUUUAAUUUUCUUUACAUGAUUGUUGUGAUAAUGAGAUAAUGAUAUGUAAUAUUUAGAUAAUGAUGUAAAUAUUAGAGGGUUUAUCUCUAAUAUAGUCGGCUAAGUAGAUAAGGCCAAAGUCGAGUUGUAUAUAAAGAGCUCCAAGCUCACGAUCAAUAACACAAAAUAUUCAGCAUUACUUUACUUUACAUGGUAUCAGAGCAUAGAUCCAACUAAAGAUUUAUACUCGUUUUUUUCUUCUUUUCAUAACUUAUCUCUCUUUGUGAUCAUCAUCUACGAUCAUGGGAGACGACAAGGUAGUUGUGGCUGGCGUGACCGGCGAAAAGGGAGCAAGUUCUCCUUAUUCAAUCUUUGCUUCUGAUAAUCCAGGAGCUUUGAUCACCUCUGUUCAGUUGAAAGGUGAAAAUUAUAACGAGUGGGCUACGAAGAUGUUGAACGCACUUCAAGCCAAAAGGAAGGCAGGUUUCGUUGAUGGUACGUUGCAGAAGCCGCCUGAGGGACACGUAGACUUGGAAAGUUGGCUUAGUGUCAAUUCUAUGAUUGUCGGUUGGCUGAGGACGUCGAUCGAACCAAAAGUAAGGUCGACCGUGACCUUUAUUACUGACGCACACAAGCUUUGGGAGAAUCUAAGAGAAAGGUUCUCAGUGGGGAAUAAGGUGCGAGUUCAUCAGUUGAUGGCAAAGCUUGCCUCGUGUAGGCAAGAUGGAGACGCGGUGAUCGAUUACUAUGGGCGACUUGCGAAGAUGUGGGAGGAGUUGCAAACAUAUCAACCACCACCUACGUGUACCUGAGAUGCAGCAGCUCUUUACGAGAAGGAAAGAGAGGAUGAACGUGUUCAUCAAUUUGUUAUGGGGCUAGAUGAAUCACGUUUUGGGCAUGUUGUUACGGCCAUAAUCGAAGCAGACGCUCUACCGGAUCUUGGAAAGGCACACAACAAGAUAGUUAGAGAGGAGGAUCGCUUGAAUUCAGCAAAGACACGGGAACAACAGCAAGAUGCCGUUGGUUUUGUGUCUCGGCGUGAAAAUAGUAAUGGUGAUUUGAGUGGAGGACGUGGAGGAGUGCGUGAUGAGUUUGGUUCAUCAACGUCAAACUCACAAAACAGAGGAAAAGAUAGAAGUUGCUCAAAUUGCGGUAGAACCGGUCACGAUAAGAACACAUGUUGGCAGUUGAUCGGCUAUCCUGAGUGGUUUACAGAACGAGGAGGACGAGGAACUCGUGGUACAAGUAGAGGAGGAGGACGCAGUGGAGCAAGCAGAGGAAGGGGUCAGUCUAACGCUGCUUACGCUACCAGUGCCAAUCCCGGUGCAACAAUUCCUGAGCUUACCGCAGAGCAAUGGAGAGCUAUAAGUCAGAUACUCCAGGAGAAGCCCAGUGGUAGUUCAGAUAAAAUGUCUGGUAAGAAAUUGGGAGAUGUGAUACUUGAUACAGGAGCAUCGCACCAUAUGACUGGUGAUAUCAAUCUACUUAUUAAUCUUGAAGAUAUCUCUUCAUGUAAGAUCGGAUUUGCUGAUGGAAGUAGUACGGUUGCAAAGAAGAUAGGCGUGUUGCCUUUGUCCGACCGUAUCUCGUUAUAUGGAGUUUUAUACGUACCAGACUUGAAUUACUCAUUGAUCUCUGUCUCGAAACUCCUCAAGCAAUCAAAUUGUUUUGCGUUUUUCACAGAUACGUUGUGUGUUUUGCAGGACCGGUGUUCGAGGACGCUGAUUGGAGCAGGUGAGGAGCGUGAUGGGGUGUACUAUUUCACGGAUGCUAAAGCUGCUCGUGUCAACAAAGCUGCGAAGGUCGAGGAUAAGGUUUUGUGGCAUCAGCAACUCGGACAUCCAGGGUUUUCAGUUUAAUCUUCUUUAUCUGUGUUUUCUGGUGUUAAAGAUUCUGCAAGUUUAGAUUCAUGUGAGGUCUGUUUUAAGGCUAAGCAAGCAAGAGAUUUGUUUCCCGAAAGUUUAAUAAAACUAAAGCAUGUUUUGAGUUGAUUCAUAUUGAUGUCUGGGGGCCAUAUCGAGUUCAGGCCUCUAACGGAGCUUCAUAUUUUUUAACCGUGGUAGACGACUAUUCACGUACUGUAUGGACCUAUUUGCUUCUCGAGAAAUCAGAAGUUAAAGAAGUGGUGCAGAAAUUUUACGCUUAUGCAGAGACACAGUUUGGAAAGCGAAUCAAGAAGGUUCAAAGUGAUAAUGGCACAGAGUUUGUGUGCCUUGGCUCAUUUUUCAAGUCAAAAGGGAUAAUACAUCAAACUUCAUGUGUGGGAACGCCGCAGCAGAACGGUAGAGUAGAAAGGAAACAUCGUCAUUUGUUAAACGUAGCGAGAUCAUUGAUGUUUCAGGCGAAGAUGCCAAUCAAGUUCUGGGGGGAAGCUGUGCUUACAGCGGCUCAUGUCAUUAAUCUUACUCCAACCAGAAUACUGAAAGGAAAGUGUCCUCAUGAGGUGUUGUUCGGGUCCACUCCAUCGUACUCGAAGCUACGAGUGUUUGGCUCUUUGUGCUUUGCACAUAAGCAACUACGCGACAAGAACAAGUUUGUUCCUCGCAGUAGAAAGUGUGUGUUUGUCGGAUAUCCUUUCGGGAAAAAGGGUUGGAAGUUAUAUGAUUUGGAAACCGGUGAGUUUUUUGUGUCUCGGGAUGUAGUUUUCAGAGAGGAAAAGUUUCCAUUUUCUGAAGUUGUCGCAGAGAAGCCCUCUCCUGUCAGUAUGGAGAGUUUUGAUGAUGAGUUGGUAACAAGCGAUGUGGAGGUUGUUGAGGCUAGGGGGAGUAAUGUCGAUCAGUCUGAGGAAACACUAGCCUCACAGGACUCUGCAAUCAUUGAAGUUGGGCCAGAGGUUUCGAGUACUAAUGAACAAGACAAUGUAGCUCCAGUAGAAGCUCCAGCAAAUACUCCGCCGGAAACAGAGAGCUCGCUUGGUAGAGGACAAUGUGUUAAACAACCUUCUGUAAGGUUAAACGAUUACGUCACCUACAAGACAGCAUGCAGUAAUAGUACCCCUCACGUCCUCACCACCGAUCGCUCUUUCAGUGUCUACUUCGACCCUGUCUCAGGUAAUACUUUGUACCCACUUACUGAAUAUAUUUCAGAUGAACAAUUUUCUGGCGGACACAAAGCUUUUCUUGCAGCUGUUUGUGCUGAUAGUGAGCCUAAGAAUUUUAAAGAAGCUAUGCGUGAUAAGAGGUGGACAAAAGCUGUUUACAAAGAAGUUGAUGCACUAGAGGUCGCACACACUUGGAGCGUGGUUGAUUUGCCUCCUGGCCGAGUGGCUUUGGGAACAAUGUGGGUCUUUAAAAUCAAAUAUAAUGCUGACGGGACUGUGGAACGGUUCAAGACAAGGUUGGUGGUGCUUGGAAACCGCCAGAAAGCUGGUUGUGAUUAUGAUGAAACGUUUGCUCCAGUUGCAAAAAUGACUACGGUACGAAGCCUAUUGAAGAUAGUAGCUACUCAGGAUUGGGAGGUACAUCAGAUGGAUGUGCACAACGCUUUUCUCCAUGGUGAUUUGGAGGAAGAAGUGUAUAUCAAGCUUCCGCAGGGUGUCAAUAACUCAGAUCCAAACAAAGUGUGUCGGUUACAUAAAUCUCUUUAUGAACUAAAGCAAGCUCCUCGGUGUUGGUUUGAAAAGCUCACAAAGGCACUGAUCAAGGCAGGGUUUGUUCAAUCUCUGUCCGAUUAUUCUUUGUUCAUUUACUCACGUGGUACUGUUGAGAUUCGAGUGUUGAUUUAUGUGGAUGAUCUCAUUGUUUGUGGGAAUGAUGGUGAAGCAAUUACAAAGUUUAAAGGCUAUCUUGGUGAAUGUUUUCACAUGAAAGAUCUAGGGAGGUUGAAGUACUUUCUUGGAAUCGAGAUUGGGCGUAAUAAAGAAGGUUUUGUGCUGAGUCAAAGAAAGUAUGCUUUGGACAUUGUUAAGGAGACUGAUCAGGUUGAUUCAAAGCCUGUUGCAACUCCCAUGGAACAGAAUCAUCAUCUUGCUAGAGACGACAGCCCCUUCACGGCUGAACCGGCGCGUUAUAGACGUCUAGUAGGAAGGCUCAUCUACCUUACUAAUACGCGACCUGAUAUAUCUUACUCAAUACAUAUACUGUCUCAGUUCAUGCAGAAACCACGAGAAGGUCAUAUGGAAGCAGCACUGCGUGUGGUGCGGUUUCUCAAAGGGACAGUCGGGCAAGGGAUAUUGCUCAAAUCAGAAACGGAUCUGCAGGUCUCCAUCUACUGCGACGCUGAUUGGGCGGCGUGUCCACUAACUAGAAGGUCGUUGACUGCUUAUGUUGCCAUGAUAGGAGGUUCUCCAGUUUCUUGGAAAACAAAGAAACAGAAAGUAGUGUCGCAUUCUUCGGCCGAGGCAGAGUAUCGCGCCAUGUCUAUUGCAACUCAUGAGGUGCAAUGGCUGCGACAGCUCUUGAGGGAUUUGGGUUUCACGCAAAAAACUCCAUCUCGUCUUUAUUGUGAUAGUAAGUCCGCGAUAUAUAAAGCCACGAAUCCGGUAUUUCAUGAACGCACUAAACACGUAGAGAUCGAUUGUCAUCGUAUGCGUGAUGCUCUGAAGUCACGAGUGAUUACUGCAACACAUAUUGGUACUAAAGAGCAACUGGCGGACGUUUUAACAAAAGCUUUGGGGAAGGUUCAGUUCAAUCAUCUUAUGUCCAAGUUGGGCAUUUGUAGUACGCAUACUCCAACUUGAGGGGGAGUGUUGUGAUAAUGAGAUAAUGAUAUGUAAUAUUUAGAUAAUGAUGUAAAUAUUAAAGAGUUUAUCUCUAAUAUAGUCGGCUAAGUAGAUAAGGCCAAAGUCGAGUUGUAUAUACAGAGCUCCAAGCUCACGAUCAAUAACACAAAAUAUUCAGCAUUACUUUGCUUUACAAUGAUUGUUAUUCCAUCCUUUUGCUUAGUGGUAUAUUGAAUAAAUGCAUUGCUGUCUAUCUAAAAUAUGCUGUAAUCUUUCUGAAAACGUGUAUAGAAAAUAUAACAGUUUUAGCACAGAUCUGGACCACCAAAAAGUCAAUAUCAAAUUUCCCAUCUUGGUUGUGUACUCAUGACUCCAGUAAAUAAAAAGAAUGUAAGUUAAAAAAAAAGAAGAAGAAUGCAGCAUUUUCACACAGCAACAGAUAAAAUAAUCAAAGGAAACUAAAGAAGCAAUUAAGUUGCAUAGUCAAAUGUGCAUAUAUAUAUAAUCAAUGCACAUGGAAAUUGAAUUUUAAGAUCCCUUCAAAAUGGGAACUUCACAUGCAUGCCCAGAUAACAAAUUGUGAUUCAGAAAGUUAAACUUGCAACUCAAAACAGCCAAGUUGACCACGUGAAAACUGAAGUACAUAUGCAGAAACAAAAGAAGUACCUUUCAUUUGGUCAGGAACUCAUAACUAAUUGUAUCAUAAAUAGUUUAGUUAUAUUCAAAAGAUUAAAGUCAAACACUGUUGGCAUUUCAAAGGAUAAUUUUAUUAUUCUGAUAAUUUAGAUCGUUUAUCUCGGUAGGGCAAAGGGAGUUAGUUGGAUACAGUUGAAGGAUUUUGCUUUAUUUUUCGGUUCAAUUUUUUUUGGCUCAACUUCAACUUAUAUCAACCAAAUUUGAAUUGACAAUCUUAUCCAAUUUCUACAUUUUGAUCACAAAUACACAGUUAAGAUUGAUAUAUAUCACCUAAAAACAUUCAAAAGGCUAUCUACGCUACUCUAUCAAAACCUAUAGUGUGCACGAAAAAGACUUACAAAACAAAUUCAAAUACCCAGGGUUUAUUAUGAAGAUACAUUCCCAAUAAAAGUGGAAAAUGAAAAGGAGAAAUAAUUGUGUACCUUGUUGGAGUGGUGACGGCGAAAUCCAUCCAACGACUCUCAUUAGCUGUCCACUUAACAAUUCGACCAUCAGAUAAACCGGUGAAUGGACCGUCGCCGUAGAAAUCGAAGGCGAAACUCUCCGGUCCCAAAGCGCCGGUGGUAGGAAUCAGAUGGAAGUCAGGGAAAUGAACUGUCAACAUUGACUCUCCAUGUUUUGGACUCUCGCCAGAAGAAUCGAAGAGGCUUAAGAGAAGGGCAAAUGAUAUCGCCAACACAAAGAAGAGUUUCAUCAUUCUCCCUUUUCUUCCCACCCUAAACUGUGGCUUGUGGUAAGAGUGAUUAUUCUCUUAUAUAUAAACUAAUGUCAAAAUUAAUAAAUAGUUAUUCUUAUACAUGUCGACUUCGUGUCAAAAACUCAACACUAAAUAGUUAUAUUAUUGUAUUCUUGGGGUUCGUGGAUCAUGCAUUCGUCAUCAUGCAUUUGUUAGUUCAUAUGUUAAUUUUUUUCUGUUCAAACAUUUCUUUCUUACUGCUUUAUUAUGAAAGAUACAUUUCCUUCUUACUUACCAGACAUUCAUACAUGAUACUACUCACGUAACUAACAUUGUCAAGAUAAAAGUUUUGCCGUUUAUGGAAUGAGAUUACAAAGAAAUCAAACAAUAUAUUCUUCUAGUCUGCCUCAAUUCGUGUAUCAAUUAUGCAUAUAUGACAUAUAAAGUUUCAAUGAUUAUAUAUAAUUUGUCCGGACGAGGUAGUCCAAGUGGCAGGACGGGCCUGUGGUGGCAACCACCAUCCGGGUUCGAUUCCCUCCCCAUGCGGAAACUACCCUGCCUCUUCUGGACACCAAAGCGGUACUGGGUUCGAUCCAACCUAGGUAAAGUCCUCCCGGGUGAAGUGGACCGCUGUCUGACCGGACCCAGGGGAAUGACCCGCGAAGCGGGGAACCCCUGGAUUAUCAAAAAAAAAAUGAUUAUAUAUAAUAUGAUUAUUCAUUUCUAAAUUGUCUAUAAAUAAACAUUUAAACAAAAAAAAGUAAAAUUCAUACUCUCUCUGUUUUUAAUAUAAGUCGUUUUAUAAUUGUGCACGUAGAUUAAGAAAAUCAUUAUUUUUUUAUAUUUUCUAAACAAAAACAUUAUUAAUUAUUUACCUAACCACAAAUCAACCAAUAAUAAAAUAGAAUGUAUAUUAUCAUUGGUCAUAUAACAUUAAGUGUUAAUAAAUUUUACAUAGAAAAACGAAAACGUCAUAUAAUUUGAAACAAAAAAAUUUCUUUAAAACGAUUUAUAUUAAAAAAACGGAAGGAGUAUUAUAUUUCUCUUAUUAAAACAAAAACAUUCACUUGGACCCAAUUAUUUUUGUAAGAUUUUAAAUUAAAUAUAUCCUUAUACUAUAAAGUUAUACCCACAUGUAUCUAUUAAAUUAUUCCUUCCUUAUAAGUUGAAUGUUUUAGGAAAUAAAAUAACCAACACUUUUAAUUAUAUAUUUUUAUUUCUUUACAAACCAACAUUUUUUAGAUAUAUCUAUUAAUUAGCUUUUUUUUUGAAUCAAAACCUGCCCAACCGAAUGCAUAUAUAUAAUAAAAUUAUUUUAAUAACUAAUGUAAGUACGUGGAAGCCUCCUUGGUCCAGUGGUUUGAUUAAUGGUUCAUUAAUGCUUCUACACCAUGAGGUCUGGGGUUCAAAUUAUGCAGAUUCCGGCGAAAAAAAGUUACAACAGGUUUAAAAUAAAAAACUAAUCUAAGUACAUGUUUUCUGUAAUUUAUUUUUUAAUAAAAUUGAAAACAUGACCCGCUCGGAUACGCCAGUCCAGAUCUAGUUAGAUGGAGUAUGUUUGUGAUUUUUUAUGCAUAGUAUACAUGUAGAUGGUAUGAUUGCUUACAAAACGCCGGAGAUCGAGGGAUCACAUUUAGAUCAUUGUAUUAAAAGUAGAUAUAUUUUGCGUAUUCUCUGUAAUUUUCCCCAAAAAAUUCUGCAGAUUUGAUGUUUAUCUAAUUAGCAUCAGUUUUACAGGUUUGGGUAAAGUAAUGUUAUUCGACGACCAAAACAAAUUAUAUAUGGAAAAUUAACAUUUUCCUUACACAGAAAAUUAAACGUUGAAUGAGGAAGAAUGGAAGAGGUAAAAGACAAAAAUACAUUUAUAUCAUAGCAUUAACUAAUCUAGAUUUAAGGUUUAGAAUUAAAGAGUUGAAUUUUGAAAAUAUGAUUUCAAAUUAAAAAAAUAGAACAUUUAUAUUAAAAUUUUCAAAAUAAAAAUGAUUAUUUUGGUUAUUUUUCUAAUUAAAUACUAUUUUUGUGACAAAAAAAAAUUAAAAUGGUUACUUGAGAAAAUUGCUCAAAUUUAAACAUUUAAAACCAAAAAUAAUAUAAAACCACAACGCGAUCAAUAUCUUAAUACUUACAUUUUAUUUUGUAACAAAAAAUAAAUGUUUUUUUGUUCACCAAAUAAUAAAUGCUUUUGUUUGAUUUUUUAGGCAUAAAUAAAACAUAAUUUUUUAAUGAUAAUAAUUAUAAUUAUAAUAAUUAAAAAAAGACAAAGGAGGUUGGAGGAGGUGAAUCGCAGGAGAAGGGGGGCAAUGGACAGAAAAAGAAAAGGCAUGCAGCCCCACUCAGCAACCUAUUCGUUUUUUUGGUAAAAACAUCCUAUUCGUUGUGUUGCCUUCUGAAUUCUGACCAUUUUAAAAUUUUUGUUUGCCAUCAAACCCAUCCAAACAAACAAUGCCAUAAACAUCAGAGUCAAUUAAAGGAAAUAAUCAUAUAAAAGAAUGUGACAACCAUAUUAGUAGAAGAGAACAAGAAUGUGACCACAUAUUGUUUACAAGUAUCCCGUUUUUAUCUUGUCUAUUAUGGUUAGUGGUCUGAACUGCACAGGCUGGUCAUAAGCCUCGCACCUUUUCAGAUUGGUUUAUGAACUUCAGAUUUUAUUUUGAACUUCGAAAAUUAUAUAUCAUGGGAUUAUAAGUAUACAAACAUAUACAGAAAAGGUAUACAAACACAUAAAAGAAGCUUUGGCCUACCAGAAUAUAUUCUGAUAUAGAAGUAAUAGCCAACAUAAAUAAGAAUUUGAAACUGAAAAUUUCGUUUCUUACAGUGAAUGUGUCAACAGUGCCAUGCGAAAGCGCAUAGUAUCAUCCUUUGCUAGUUCAAUUGCUAUUCGGUUAUCUAAAUUAUGCGUUUUAAAUUGGCACUUUUUUGUUCCAUCAUGAGAUAUUCCUCUCUUUGAGCUUGUAGAUAGGAUUUAACAAUUUACUUAUUAGUUGAAUAUAUUAACAUUAAAACCCGAAAAUACUCGAAAAUAUAAUCAAAUUGAAUAAGCCUUUCUUCAAAAAAAAAAAAAAAUCAAAUUGAAAGAAAAAAAUGGAAGUGAACCAUAGGGAAAUCAAAAUCUCCUUUAACAAAAGAGGAAGCCAACAUUUCAGUAAAUUAUAAAACCAAAAGUCUUGAAAGGCUUUAUAAGUUUAAGAGCAAACCUAACCGGAUACCGCAAAUACUUUUUAUAAACUAAUUAUCAAAUCUACACACAUGGGAAAAUGACAGUGUAGGAGCACAAUAGAUUCUAUAAUGACGGUACAGAUUUAAAACAGUUCAAGGAAGCCGUAACUUUAGAUCACUGACGAUCGAGAACCCAAACAGAAGGCAGAAACACAGACCCAAACCAAAGCUUACCAUCUCUCUCUUGAACCUCACUUACGAAUUUCAUAUUCUUCCCUUCACUAUCCUCAAGAACCUCCAUAACCUCACCGGUCUUGCCGCAGAGCUUCACGGCACCUGCAUGAGGCUUUCCUCCUUCAAAUAGAAAAACCAACAGGUCCAUAUUCAACGUUUUCAUGAAAAACUUCCCAAUCCACGGAUGCAUCAACGAAAGCCUAGAAAACGGAGUUUUCUUAGAAUGCAAGGCAACCCAAAAAUCCCCUGUCUCGGUCCUCCUGAUGUUAUCAGCGUAGCCCGGGAGCUUAGCGAAUAUGUCGCGGGUCCCUGCUUUAGGUCCUUUGACCCAAUAUCGAUGAACAAGUUGCGUUGGAACCUCACAGGAAAGCACGAACGAACCAUCUUUGCUUAUGGCAAGACCAUUAGGGAAAUGUAGACCGUCCAUUAUAACUUUGGCCUCUUUUGUCUUCUUGUCAUAUCGAAUCGCUCUUCCCGUCUUUUCGCCACACAGAAACGCGUAGAAUACGUCCCUGAUCCAUGCACGAACGUAAUAAUUUUAGCAUAUGUCGACAGAAAGUAAAUUUAUACGUUUUACUAAUAACUUGGUAAAAAAAAAAAACUUGGUAAAAAAGAAAAGUGGAUUUUUCUUUGGGUUUACAUGUUAUAAUGAAACCAAAAAUUAGUACUUAAAUAUAUAAUUUCUUGUUUUGAAAAGCUCAUGAUAUCAUUGCAUCACCAUUAUAUUCCAAUAUAUACAUUGAUGCGAGCAAUGCUUUUGUGGACCAUAAGUAAUUUUUCUGCCUAUGGGAUGUUGUCUAGAUGGACUACACAUGGGAGAUUAACUUGUACAUAUUGUAAUGGAACGACAUAUGCGUUUCAACUGAAGAAUGGUAGGAAGACAAGUUGGUUUGAUUGUCACCCUCGAUUUCUUCCCAUUGGCCAUCCUUACCGAAGAAACAAGAAUUUUUUUAGGCACAAAAGGGUUGUGAGAGACACUCCUCCUCCAUACCUAACUGGAGAACAAAUUGAAGCGCAAAUCGACUACUACGGAGCUAACGAAACAGUUCGUUGGGGUGGUAAUUGGCAUGUCCCUCGUAAUAUGCCAGAUUCUUACACGCGAAGGCGAAAGUUCGCUUGUUGGACACAGUUUCCAACUGGAAGGGUGACUGGAUCGUGAAGGGGUAUGAGCGUGGCAACCCCGCUGAGCUCACCACGGAUGUGUGGGAUGGCCUCAUCCGUUAUUGGCGUCUUCCUGAUUCUAUUAGAAUCGCCCAGUCUUGCCCUAACUCCCGUAACACGGUCGAUGAGCACGGAAACGGGCCGAUGCUUUAUGGAACGACUACUGCCUUUUGCAUUUGAGGAGCUACUUCCAACAAACGUACAUGAAGCACUUGCAAGUACGUAGUGUACAUGAAGAGGGUGAGGAAGAAGUUUAACGCGAAGGCGAAAGUUCGCUUGUUGGACACAGUUUCCAACUGGAAGGGUGACUGGAUCGUGAAGGGGUAUGAGCGUGGCAAACCCGCUGAGCUCACCACGGAUGUGUGGGAUGGCCUCAUCCGUUAUUGGCGUCUUCCUGAUUCUAUUAGAAUCGCCCAGUCUUGCCCUAACUCCCGUAACACGGUCGAUGAGCACGGAAACGGGCCGAUGCUUUACACUACGGGCCAAACACCCCACGCCGGUAUCCGUUUGCAAAUGGUAAUUAAAUAUUUUAUUAAAUAAAAUUUUUAAUAGAUAUUUUUAUUCUAACUUUCUUAUUUUUAAUAAAUAUUUUUAUUUUUUGGGACAUCUCCCGUCUCUUAUGGAACUUUACGAGAGGACCCACAAGAACAAGGCGAGCGUAUUUGUAGAUGGCAAGUCCGAGCAAAUCUACAACGACGUGGUUGCUCGGGUUGAAGACCGCCAGACUCAGCUGACCCAGCAGUCUACCGACGGAUUACCCGUCACCUUAUCCACACUUGAAGUGGAUAAGAUUUACGAGGAGGUAAAUUUUCAAAAAUUUUAAUUUUUUAUUAUUCAUUUAAUUUAACUUUAAAUUUUUACUAACAAUAUUUAUUUUUUGUUUUUAAGGUUGUCCCUAAAAAAAAGGGACGGACGUUGGGGAUUGGUUCCGUCAACGAUGUUCCGAGAGCGACAUCGUCUUAUGGUCAGCGACGGGAUGAUGAAGUCACUGAGCUGCGUAACGAGUUGGCCGCGACAAAAUCUCGUAUGGGUGGAGUCGAGGGCUUCUUGGACGUUAUAGUGGCCACAAAUCCGGAAUGGGAGUCCAUGUUGAGGAACAUGCAACAACAACAUCCCAUUCAAGGCGAGUCAUCCGACAUACAUAACGAGGCGGAUGUUGCAAGGAGGAGUGAUGAAUUCUACCAGGCGAUGAACAACCCUUAGUUCUUUUUUUCCGGUUGUUGUAUUAUAAAUUCAAAAUUAUUUAUAUAUAAAAUAUUUUUGUAUUGAUUUAUUUUUAUUCUAAAUUAUAAUUUUUUUAAUGAAUUAAAUAAAUUUAAUUAUUUUUUUAAUUAUAUUUUUAAAUUCUGUAAAAUAAUAAAAACAAAGUAAAUUCGUAGCUAAUGUACGACCUAUUUACGUGGAAACCUUACGAGGAAAUGACGAGAAAAAAUAAACGAGUAUUUUACGAGAAAACAUUUACGAGGAAAUGACGAGGAAAGAUAAACGAGUAUUUUACGAGAAAAUACAUUCGUGGUAGUUACGUGUAUUUUGCGAGAAAACACUUUCAAGGUAUUUACGUGUAGUUUACGAGGAACUCGUUUCGAGGUAUUUACGAGGAAAUAUAAUGACCUCCUUACGUGGAAUAUUUACGUGGUCUUUACGACGAAAUGAUGUACUUCGUCUUUACGACAAAAUAUUUUCCUCGCUAAGUUACGAUGAAUUGGCGAGGAAAUAUGUGUUACGACGGAUGAGUAACGAGCAAACGUGUUUCCUCGCUAAUUCGUCGUAAAGCCUCUUUAACGACGAACUCACGAGGAAAACCGCCCUCGUUAAGCUUAUGUUUUCUUGUAGUGACUUUAUUAUUGACUGGACUCUCCUAUACUCGGAAUUGCAGGUGGUUCGAUCCCCUAAAGUAAAGGCAAGCGCAUAGGCUAUAGAAUCCAAAAUAGAGCUCCUUCGGCUCUAAACUGCUACUGUGCUUAUUUGGUCUAUCAGCAACUCGGCCAGCUACUGACCUAAUUGGUAACUUUUCAGUCAAGGUAUGGAUCACUCACUUCUGAGUCUUUUUGUUGCAGACAAGCUGCUUUGGUCUCACUCCUAGCUUUUCUUAUCGAAAGGAAAAAAGAAGGAUCGUCUCACUCCAGUCAAAUAUGUAUGUGGUUGGGAACUUUCUGUGCUGUUAUGAUUCCAUGAUCUUCAUCGCCACCUCUGUCCUAUAACGCUUUCCUUUAUAGCAGUUAUUGCUCCGGUUCCUGAAGGUAUAGCUCUUGCCGAGGAAUUCCUUUGAAAUCGGAGACUGUUCAAAUUUCCUACUGAGAUAGGCAAGCGAAGGGAGAACUAGAGGUAUCUUGCUAGGCAAAGAAGGUUAGAAUGUAUAGCUCGCGGGUGGGAUUGUCUCACACCGCCUAACAUGAGAAAUAUCCUUUUGGAGAACCAUUAACCAAGACAGAGAGCUUGACAGCGUCGAGGUGCUUUAGCAACUCGACUGAAAGGAGAGGAACCACACCCAUGACUAGCUUGUUUCUGCUUGUUCGUUCGCUUGUAGGUUGCUACGCUGUUUUGCGAGUCAUUCCAUUCUCUUCCCUUAAACUACUACGUGAGGAUCGGAGGGUCGCUACGAGAUUCCUUUCUUCUUAUCUUAAUAGGAACGUAGGGCGUGUUAUGGCUUGAACCCUUUCGAAAAGGUCAGGGCGAAGGGCAUCCAACCAAGCAACAAGGAAAAUUACGAGAACAGAACAAAAGAAGAAAAUACCAAUUCAAUUUGAAUGGAUUCAAAACAAGGUUACUGUAUGGAUCUAGAUUAAAAAUUCUUCUGUUUUCAUCUAUUAAAUAAGAGUGAAUUAUUUGAAAAAUAUAUUUGAAGUUAUCAAGUUGCAAAUAUUUAAUUAAACAGAUCUGACGUGACGCGAAUAAUAAGCGUGUAAUCAUUGUCAAAAGCUAAUACCUAUUGUGGGAUAUGCCCUGUAGGCAGGAGUAAGAAGGUCAGCUAGGAAAUCAACAGAUAACAACAACAACGGAGGGAAUGAGUUCCUCCGGCAUCUAGGUAGAACCUUCCAGAAAACCGGGAAAGUAGGGCAUCAUAUAGUAAAGUAGGACUACUCCCAGAAUCUAUAAUUGUCGCAAAAAGUCCAAUAUACAUACAUUAUUGGAUCUUUUGAAUAACAGUCUAGAAGACCUUAUCAAAAUGGAACAUUUUCACAUAGAAGAUGUAAAAAAGAUUUUAGACAUUUUAGAAAAAAAUAAAAAAGGCAUAAAAAAAAAAUUGAUUACAUUGAAAAAAAAAUUUAAUUUUUGGUAGAGCACAACAUGUGAUGUUCCAAAUAGAACUGUACCACAAGAAAAGAAGAAAAAAAGACAUAUAUAUAUAUACAUGUGCAUUCUUUUUUAUUUUAUACGAGGAAAUGACGAGGAAAGAUAAACGAGUAUUUUACGAGAAAAUACAUUCGUGGUAGUUACGUGUAUUUUGCGAGAAAACACUUUCAAGGUAUUUACGUGUAGUUUACGAGGAACUCGUUUCGAGGUAUUUACGAGGAAAUAUAAUGACCUCCUUACGUGGAAUAUUUACGUGGUCUUUACGACGAAAUGAUGUACUUCGUCUUUACGACAAAAUAUUUUCCUCGCUAAGUUACGAUGAAUUGGCGAGGAAAUAUGUGUUAUGAUGGAUGAGUAACGAGCAAACGUGUUUCCUCGCUAAUUCGUCGUAAAGCCUCUUUAACGACGAACUCACGAGGAAAACCGCCCUCGUUAAGCUUAUGUUUUCUUGUAGUGACUUUAUUAUUGACUGGACUCUCCUAUACUCGGAAUUGCAGGUGGUUCGAUCCCCUAAAGUAAAGGCAAGCGCAUAGGCUAUAGAAUCCAAAAUAGAGCUCCUUCGGCUCUAAACUGCUACUGUGCUUAUUUGGUCUAUCAGCAACUCGGCCAGCUACUGACCUAAUUGGUAACUUUUCAGUCAAGGUAUGGAUCACUCACUUCUGAGUCUUUUUGUUGCAGACAAGCUGCUUUGGUCUCACUCCUAGCUUUUCUUAUCGAAAGGAAAAAAGAAGGAUCGUCUCACUCCAGUCAAAUAUGUAUGUGGUUGGGAACUUUCUGUGCUGUUAUGAUUCCAUGAUCUUCAUCGCCACCUCUGUCCUAUAACGCUUUCCUUUAUAGCAGUUAUUGCUCCGGUUCCUGAAGGUACCCGGGAGCUUAGCGAAUAUGUCGCGGGUCCCUGCUUUAGGUCCUUUGACCCAAUAUCGAUGAACAAGUUGCGUUGGAACCUCACAGGAAAGCACGAACGAACCAUCUUUGCUUAUGGCAAGACCAUUAGGGAAAUGUAGACCGUCCAUUAUAACUUUGGCCUCUUUUGUCUUCUUGUCAUAUCGAAUCGCUCUUCCCGUCUUUUCGCCACACAGAAACGCGUAGAAUACGUCCCUGAUCCAUGCACGAACGUAAUAAUUUUAGCAUAUGUCGACAGAAAGUAAAUUUAUACGUUUUACUAAUAACUUGGUAAAAAAAAAAAACUUGGUAAAAAAGAAAAGUGGAUUUUUCUUUGGGUUUACAUGUUAUAAUGAAACCAAAAAUUAGUACUUAAAUAUAUAAUUUCUUGUUUUAAAAAGCUCAUGAUAUCCAGCCUACUAGUUUAUGAUUUGUCAUUGCAUCACCAUUAUAUUCCAAUAUACAUAAUGCUUAUUAUUUAGCAAAAAAAAAACUAUUAACAUUUUUUGGAAACAAAAAACUCUAAACGCAAAUGAAAAGAGAAACUUAUUUUACGUUGGGUGUUUUCGGUUUUCCUAUAUGCAAAAAAACACACACAAAAUCAUAAAAACAUAAGUGCUUUUAUCUUUAGUUUUAUCUUCACUUAUAAAUGCAAAAUAAUAUUUACCCUUUUAAGACAAUUUCAAAUUUGCAAUAUAAAAUUCUAAAACUCGUGGGUUUAUCAGGAAGCAUAUUAUUGUAAACAUUUUAAGGAAAACGUUAACAAACAACCCAAAUUUGAUUCCCGAAUUAAAUAGAUAAUUAAAGGAAGUAAUAUAGAGGUGAAGUUAUAAUACCCAAAGUGGUAGGUGUCGCUGCUAUCAUUGAAGUAAAUAGCAUCGUCUUCUUCGUCUAUAUCCAUUUGAUUCGCAAACAUAAUUUUCUGACCUUCUACCUCGUCCACGACCUUCUCGGCCAAUCCUCCGUUAGGCCCAACUUUCAUUACCCCUAAGUAACCGUCACAAAAGUACAAAUCUCCCGAUUUUUUUUCGAAGCUCAGGCCUAAGGGCCUUCCACACGCAGGUUCCACCUUAUGUCUCGAACAGUUUCCUCUUCAUUUAUACACCAAAUACAAACAUUGAAAAUUUAUCAUGUAUGUGACUCCUAUAAUCAUUAAUCUAUAAACAGAUUUAUUCUAGCCUUUGAAUUAAUAUCCAUAUACAUUUACGAUGUGUAAAUGUUUUUAUUAAUCCUUGUGGAAUAGUGAACAAAGUCAUCACUGAAAACAUAUGUGCAUGGAAACACUCAGUCUUUUGGGCAUAUACAAGUUAAACAAACCUGUCGGGAGUUGAGUAGGCGAAUUUGACCCAGCUAAGAUCCGCACCGCGCCAUUUGAGUAUGCUACCAUCGGUGACGCCGACGUAUGGGCCUUCCCCUUGUGGGUCCCAGUCCAGGCUCUCCGGUCCAUCAACGGGAAGCGGGAUCAUCGUCGCCUUGGUUAGGACGUUCUUCGAGCCCACUAUACUCUCCGGUCCGAUGAUGGAUGGCCCGACGAAGAUGACCAGGACAGCUAUAACUGCCGUAACAACGGCCCAUGUCCGAAAUUUCCGGCUUAUUGGCAUUGUUGUGUAGCUGCUAGCUUUACCUUCUCUUCCGAAAAAUGUGUGUGUUUAAGUGUAGUUUGGAAUGGCUAAUUACUCAAUUAAAUGCAUGAUUACUUUACUAGUUGGAUGUUUCAUGUUUGAGAAUACGUGAGAGAGAAGGAAUGAAUAGAGAAAAGCAUAAGCGAUGAAGAGAAGCGACCAAUAUUACUACUUUAUCUUUUUUACUUCUGUAUUUUCCGAAUAUUACUUUUCUAUUUAGUUGUUUUUUACAUGGACGAAAUGGACUUAGAGUUCAAUAAGGAUUUCUGACAAAAAAAAAGUAAGAGGGAUUGAAAUAAAGAUUUAGUACAACUGUUAAAUUAUCAAGUUGAAAGUUAAAUUUGCGAUUUUCCUAAAAAUAUUUGGUUUGUAUAAUUUUAAUCAUAUUUAUUGAUAAACCAACCGUUCUGCCAUGCAGCAUCUUGUGAGAAUCUCACUUUGUGAAAAGGAAGAACGAAAUUCCAGAAUAUUUUUGACGUGUCUCUCUGUCUUUUUUUUUUCUUUUGAAAAAUAUUCUGGUUGUGUCGGAAAGAAAAGGAGUACUAGUCUGCUUCACGUUUUCUUCUUUUAUACUUGAAUACCAUAUUGUUUUUCAUAACUCAUUUGCGAAGAUUCUCCUUAUUAAUUUACAAUCAAAGUUUAUGGAUUUAUUGUCAUAUGUUAAAAUCCCCGGAAAGCAAUUAGCUUGAAUUUUCUUAUAGAGAGGACAUAAACAAUACUAAAUCGUCACGAAAUAGCUAUUCCAGGUUUCAGAAUAAUCAGAAUUGAGAGUUGGUCUUGUAGCCUGAGAGAGUCGGCUCUUAGAUCAUAACUAUUUGAUGGUGAUGCUUGGCUGGGCAUCAUCCUUGACUUGAGCCCAACUUAUUAUCGAGCCUUUUCUGAUGCUUAAGAGUUACGUAAGACAUUUUUGUCAUUCUUCAGUGCCAAGUCUAGAAUAAUUUCAAAACUAAUAAUUUAAGAAACAACCCCAUGACUUUGGAUUAGUUUCAGAUAUAAGCCAUGUCAUGUAUUUGCUAUUUAACCCAUUAUAUUAUACUAACGAAGGGAAAAUAGAAGAUGAGGCUCGGUUCACUUUUAUAUCGAGUCCAAUUUAGCCCAAUAACAUGUCAAGACGGGCCCGAUAAUGGUCGUAUUAUAUAUCAAACAUCAUUCCCUUAAUACUCUCACUCAAGAUACCUAAUAUUAAUACUUAGAUAGAGAGUCCAUUGUGACCCUUAGAGACGUAUCAAUUAUACAUGUGUAAGACGAUGAUUAACCCGGUUCUUAGGAUGAGGUUCUUAGCUUCGACUAAGAACCGUUUCUUAGCUUUUAACUAAGAAAAGGUAAGAACCGUCUCUUAAAUAAGAGAUAUAAGAACCAGACUCUUAGCCGAAAAACAUAAAAAAAAGAAUGUCAAAUCAUAAGUUAAGAACUUCAAUUUAAGAGCCCGGGUUAAUCAUGUUCUAAUGAUAUCAUCGAAAUAGAACGAUUGAUAUCAUAACAAAGUAACCAUUGUUCAAAAACCUCGUGAAUACUCACCAUAAUAUACAUUUACUAAUCAAACAUUUUUAAAAAAAAAUGUAUCGACAUAAAUUUGUUUUCUUAAAUACGUGUGUCAAGAAAGGUUGAUAGUUUGGCAAGAUAGGAUCUCUAUUGCUAUCCCCUACUCCACUAGAUUGGUACUAAACCUUGAUAUUAUAACCAAACAUCACUCUACAACAAAAUAAAGAUAUUAAUUGUGGUGUUAGAAAGAAAGUUAACGUGAGCUUUAUAAUCAAAAGGAAAAAAGUUGUUUACACGAACAUAAUGAUACGUAGCAUAAAAUAUAAAGAUUUGGUGGGUAAACAUUGGCCUUGUGUUCUAUCGGAGGGGCACUAGUCAAUUGUCUUAACAUCGCUUGUAAGGGUAUUUUAAAAUUUAGUUUACUAUUUUGUAUUUUACGGACCUCAAGGACUAAUGGUGAAACCAUAUAGGGGUAAGAAACAUAAGGACUAUCUACAUUUCAACUUAAUUAAAUUCCACAUGAAAUUAACUUUACGAUCCUAUAUCUACUUACACUCAAAAGUGUUAGCAUGUAACUCAGAAGGAAAUAAGAUGGAUCACAAGCAAACGAAGUUAUUGGAAUAUGCAAAAGUUAUAUAACUAGAGUUUUUUCUUUUUUUUUGUCGACAAGUUGAGCUGUUAAUAUUCUCAAAGUAGAUCUCAACGUCCGGUCGUAUCUCCUAAAUAAUGGUCGAGGUUUGGUUCACCGUAUUAGGACCAUAUAUAAGCUCAUUUCUUUUAUAAAAUCUAGUUAUUAAUAAUGAUAUCACCGAAAACUAACGUGGUUCAACACUAAUUUAUACACACCGAAAAAAUAACUACAUAAACUAAUAAUAAUGUAGGCCUAUAAUUGGUAGAUACAAUGUUAACAUAUUCCAUCAAUUAUAAGACCCGUUGGGUACAACCACAGUCCACACGUAAUAUUCAUUUUCUUAUUAAUUAGGUUGCUUUUUCUAGAACCAUAAUUAGGUGACUGUAAGGAACAUAGUUUCCAUAAGUUAACAUGUCACAUAGCCCUGGGACGGAUCCGGAUAUCCGGAAAAUUUAGGGUAUCCGGAUUCGGAUCCGGAUCCGUCGGAUCCGUGGAUUUAAUAUCCGGAUCCGGAUUCGUGGUUUCCGGAUAUCCGGAUUUCGGAUAUCCGUCUCGAUAUUCUAUUAUCCGAGGAUAUCCGGAUCCGGAUCCGGAUCCGUCAAAAUAAUUAAAAAUAAUUUUUUAACAAAAAAUAUUAAUUUUUUAACAAAAAAAUAUUAAUUUUUAACAAAAAAUAUUAAUUUUUUUAACAAAAAAUACUAAAUAUAAAUAUUAAUAAAAUUUAAAAAUUUAAUGUAUUUUAAAAAUACGGAUCCGGAUCCGGAUAUCCGGACCUAAAAAUUACGAUAUCCGGAUCCGGAUUCGGUUUGCACGGAUCCAAGAUUUUACUAUCCGAAUUCGGAUCCGGGCACCCCGGAUAUCCUAUUUUCGGAGCGGAUACGGAGCGGAUCUCGGAUCGAAUCCGGAUAUCGGAUAAUAAGUCUCAGGCCUAAAUUGUCACACAACUAGCAUGUAUUUAUGAUUUAAAUGAUGAGAAAUAUAAAAUGAAAAUGAAAAUCUAUGAUGGUCAAGUGGUUAACUUAAAAGAAGCGAUAUCAAGAGUCUUCUCAUCAAACAUAUUUUGCCACUAUGAAUGUUUUAGAUGCUAAAAUAUAUCGUGAUCCACAUACUGUUUCUGAUAGAGUUUUAUUAUUAGGGAGAGUAGAUACUAGAUUGUUAAAUUUUAAUAAUGAUUGUGAAAAAUUAGACAAAAUUAAUAUGUCUAAAAUAAAAUAAGCAAAUCAAAGGUGGAGGCCACCAGAUGCGAUCAACCAUAUCUUCUUUCAUGUCACAUGCCGACGUCUCUCUAUGCGUUAAUAAUUUAGUGCAUUGACUUUGCAUUUAUACCAAUCUUAAAUCUUAUUUUUAUACCCAUGGAUAUAGUUUUGAGCCGAAUAUAAAAUCAUAUCACAAUUUACUAGUCAAAUACUAAAUAUUCGUCGAAUAUGAUUUGGAAAUUACACAAUGGGUUUCUUUCAAAGGUCAAGUCAUAAAGUUGAAAAUUUUCAAAGUAAAAUGGUAUGUUCUUAGUAUUCGUGUAGAACAAGUCAAAUAAUUACUUUUGUUUUGCUUAUUACAAGGAUUCUACUUUUGUGAUAAUAAAUGAGAAUUCGGCCUAAAGAAACCUCAACUUUGCACGAAUUGCCAAAAUAAACAUAAACUUUUGGGCUGACAAAAAAAACA
RNAcentral lists this long non-coding RNA (22712 nucleotides) under Brassica napus (rape). RNAcentral describes it as "long non-coding RNA (BNAP_LNC014794)". The record is from RNAcentral. Lineage: Eukaryota; Viridiplantae; Streptophyta; Magnoliopsida; Brassicales; Brassicaceae.